Molecule: ribosomal RNA, 789 nt
Filed under: Triticum aestivum (bread wheat)
Lineage: Eukaryota; Viridiplantae; Streptophyta; Magnoliopsida; Poales; Poaceae
Description: partial small subunit ribosomal RNA
Source: RNAcentral
AUGACGAGGACCAGCGGCGCGAACGGCGGCGGGCAGCAGGGGUCGGGGAAGCUCCCGCGGAAGCGCUUCUACCGGGCGCGCGCGCACAGCAACCCGCUCAGCGACUCGCACUUCCCGAUCCCGAUAUCGCCCGACGACGUCGACCUCUCGCAGCACUACCCGCGCUACUUCCCGGCCGACAAGGGCGAGCACGGUGAUGGGGGUGGGGACGCGGAGGCGCCCCGGAUCCGUUUCGCGGACGUCGGGUGCGGGUUUGGUGGGCUGCUCGUCGGGCUCUCGCCUCUCUUCCCCGACAAGCUCAUGAUCGGCAUGGAGCUGAGGGACAAGGUGACCGAGUAUGUCAAAGAGCGGGUUCUGGCUUUGAGAGCAUCAAACCCAGGACAGUAUGACAACAUAUCCGUUGUGCGCACCAAUUCAAUGAAAUACAUUCCUAACUACUUCGGAAAGGCUCAGCUCUCCAAAAUGUUCUUCCUGUUCCCUGAUCCUCACUUCAAGGAGAAGAACCACCGGAGGAGGGUGAUUAGCAUGCAUUUGCUCGAUGAAUACGCUUACGUGAUGGAAGUGGGAGGAAUCAUAUACACUAUUACUGAUGUAGAGGAGCUUGGUAUAUGGAUGCGCACGUGUCUGGAGAAGCACCCACUCUUCGAAGCUGUUCCCGAGGAAGAGAUAAAAGUCGAUCCAGUUGUGAAGCUACUGUCUAGUGCCACCGAAGAAGGUCAGAAGGUCGCGCGGAAUGGAGGGCAGACUUUCCAGGCCAUCUUCAGGCACAUCUCCUUGCAAGAGGAAUAA